This 253-nucleotide ribosomal RNA is filed under the name uncultured bacterium. RNAcentral describes it as "partial 16S ribosomal RNA". It matches the Rfam family "Bacterial small subunit ribosomal RNA", at positions 524 to 776 of the family's 1533-position model. The record is from RNAcentral.
UACGAAGGGAGCUAGCGUUGUUCGGAAUCACUGGGCGUAAAGCGCAUGUAGGCGGCCAGGUAAGUUGGCUGUGAAAUCUCCCGGCUCAACUGGGAGAGGCCGGUCAAGACUGCCUGGCUGGAGGCUGGUAGAGGGAGGUGGAAUUCCCGGUGUAGUGGUGAAAUGCGUAGAUAUCGGGAGGAACACCAGUGGCGAAAGCGGCCUCCUGGACCAGACCUGACGCUCAGAUGCGAAAGCUAGGGGAGUGAACGGG